CUUAGUAUGAUAGGCUGGUUUUACAAUGUAUCUGAGUGUGUGUGAAUGUGUUUCAGGCUAGACAAAUUGGAAGAUUUGUUUUUACUAGUUCUUAGCUUGUUAUAGCAUCCACUCCUUAUUAACUAGUAAAUAAUAUACCUUCUCCUCUUUUAUCCUCAGAUUUGGCUUGUUCUUCUCCCCUAAGAAAGCUGAGCUUAGAGUAUACAUCAAUUCACACAACUUGGUUUGAAUUUAUAGAUACAUGCAAGAUGCAUCAAGCAUACCUUUCUGCUUUUGUGAUUCCCACCAUCAUGUGUAGCCAACUUCCAUCAAGCCCCAGCAUCUGUGCCUUUCAGCAUGACACUUAGAUCACUUCAGGACUAGUCUGAAAUCAGCUGUUUGAAAUUAUGCAUCACUAAUUUAUUGAUGUGGAUCAUGACGAAUCAAGGAAAGUGGAGUCAGAGCUGUGAGAAAAGAAGAAACACAUCUGGUGUAGGGUUUUAUGGGCUUACAGGGAUAGAGUCUAACUCUGAAGCUCAUGCUGGAGAGCAGUGGCAUGAUCAUAGUUCACCGCAGCCUCAAGCAAAAUUUUAAGAGUAGAACGUCAGUCUACUGACCCUCAACUUACGCUGAAUGUAAUGGCUUUUCUGGAGUGAGGGAGAAGACUGAGGGAAGAACCAGAAGGCUGCCAAAAUACAAUUGUGUGCCUUUAAAGGAAAUAACAACAAGAAUUAGGAGCGCCCUGGAGGCAAGAUGCAGACCCUGAGACAAGCAUUCAAGUAUGAUUGAUUUCUUUGGAAGAUGGUCCCAGGAAGUGCUGGCAGGAAAAUGGGAGAGUGACUCAGGAAGGAAAGAAGACCAUGAAGUUGUGGUAUCAAGUCAGUUACCUACCAGCAACUGGAGGUCGGGAUCUCCAGAAAACUCUGGUAGGCAAUGGAGGACGCUCAUCAAUUAUUCUCACUAAAGUACCAAAAAGUGGAGCCAAUCAUCCACCAACUUCUUGCCUUGGUUGAAGACAUUCACUCUUCCCUUGCCUUGCAAGUAGGUCAAGCAUGCUUCCUGGGCAAAAAGGAUCCCUGGACAGAGCAUCACUCAGUCCACUGUAGCUCCUGAUUAAAAUGCAAUAAAACUAAAAUCAAUACAGCACCGGCAUACCUUGAUACCAUUUUUGCCUUUGCAACUUAUUCCAUUCUUCCUCCUCCCUGCCUUCAUCCUGAGCUCUAUAAUAACAAAAGAUAGUUAAGGAAGGCAUUGCCCCUUUUGUUCUUGCUCAACCAAGACCUGAAGCAGAGUUGGAUUACUUCCACAGAGCAGGGAGAUUGAAUUUCAUUUUGCUAGGAAAAGAGGUAAGUUUCCAUGAAGAAAUAUCCUCCCUGAUGCCCUUCACCCCUUCUCUGACCCUGCACCUGCACAGAAGAAAAGAGUGAUCAUUUCCCUAGACCCCUGGGUAAUUGAUUCUCUUUGGUGUCCUCUAACAUUUCUGAGACUGCUUCCAUAUCCUGGACUCUAAUCUAUCUGCUUAACUUUCUGGAAGCAAUGCCAUUUCAUCGUGAACUACUUAAGGGCAAUGUUUGAAUUUUUUUGGUGCCAACUUUGUAUCCUUUACACCUUGGACAUAAAGCAUGCUUAAAAAUAUUAGUGUUGCACGUGGGACAUAAAGGGUGAUUAAAGAUAUUAUUUUGGAUGGACGAAUGGAUAAAUAAUGAAUGAGUGAAGAAGUAAGUGAAUGACUGCCCCUGUCCCCUAUGAUAUUCUGGUGACUGGCUUGGGGAUGAGUUUGCUUCGCCAUCCUGAUCCUUGUUCAUUGCUUCAAGUUAUUCACUAUCUGUUCCCCAAAACCACUAGGGUAUUACUGCUCAGGACACCAGCUUUUGCAGAACUGCAUCUCAAACCCCAGUUUUCACUCUUCUUCGCACAUCUCACCUUCUCAACUCUUCAUUUGCUUUCCCUGCCCUUUGGUAUGCAGGCCCUUGCAAUAAGGUAAGAUAUUGAUUAAUAAUAAGCUCCGGUAAGCUCCAGUCAAAUUUUAUUAAAACGUUCUUUUGAGGGAUAUUUUUAUUUUAAAAGAUGGUGCCAGGAUGAUCCUAAAAGAUGCCGUUUCUGAGUUUGCAAAGUGGUUAGGAAAUAUAUUCUGGAGCUGGUCCCCCUGCUAUGCCCUAAUUCUGCCAUACAAUCACCUUCCUCUCUCUUCUGUGGACAGAGAUUGGGCAUGGGGGUGUGGCUUUCCUGCCCCAUCAUCUGUAAAUAAAUUAUAUUCCUCUGUGACCAUUGCCUAUCUUAUUUCCCAACAAGAAGAUAAGAUGUGGUUUGGGGAUUUCAACUCCCAAGUUCAGCUGUGAGGCCUAUGGACUGAAUCUUAAGCUUUUUCUUGACAUCAGAUAUCUCCAUGUAUAUGGCAAUUCCUGCCACAGAACUCUACUCUCAAAAAAGCCCCAGCACCCCUGAGGUAAAUGUCUGAAGAAAGGAUGUGGGUGGGGAACUGGGGAGGUGAGAUUUUAACCGAGGGUAUCAUAUGAGUAUCACAGAGUAGUCCCAAAAUGAGUAAAAAUGACCCUAAAGUCCUAAAAAUGACCAUAAAGUUCAUACAUAUGUGAAAAGAAAAUGGGAGAGAAAAAUAAGACCACCGUCUCUGGCAAGAAAAGUCUGUGGGAUCAGAGGGUUUAGGUUUACAAGAGUCAAAAGGAACCCACACCUGAGUAUCUUGAGGAUGGCACAUUGGUGGAUAAUGACCACAUAAACUAAAUUUUUCUCACAAACAAAAAGAACUUGAGUAGUGACAGAUGAUGGCAUGGAGAGGGCUUAGGGUUAUAGGAGGGAGAAGAGUUGUGAAAUUAGCAAGGAAACAGGUUUUUCCUUAAAAAAUGACAGUGAGCUAUCUUAAUUUUGGUGGAUCACUUUAUGCAAGGCCUCACAAAAUCUUACUUGCAAAAUUAAUUCAAAUUAGAUAUGAGCAUGGUCAUAUGUAUUGAAACCUAGCUUGUAGUAAUAAAUGGAACAGGGCAACAGUAAAUGACAAUAUAUCACGGGGAAAGGAGAUUUUUUUUAGUGCAGGGCUUGGAGGCCUGGUAUUUUGUCUGGUCUUAUUUAACAUCUUCAUUAAUGAUCUGGAGGAGGACGUAAACAAUAAUACAAUAAUAAAAUCUGCACAUCAAAGUUGAAAAACAAACCCUGAUGAAGUCUGAAAAGUAAUGUAAAGGAAUCUUAAGGCAUCAGAAAUUGAAUCAGAAAACAAAAUGAAAGCUGAAUGGAAAGGAAAAAGAUACAUGCAUAUAUACACAUAAUCUUAGUCUAAAAGAUUAUAUACACA
RNA transcript from Chlorocebus sabaeus (green monkey), 3286 nucleotides. It is a transcript of the gene named UPF0764 protein C16orf89-like, with no coding region annotated. The record is from RefSeq and is a predicted model, not a curated record. NCBI's taxonomy places the organism in Eukaryota, Metazoa, Chordata, Mammalia, Primates, Cercopithecidae.